Molecule: unclassified non-coding RNA, 249 nt
Filed under: uncultured Russula
Lineage: Eukaryota; Fungi; Basidiomycota; Agaricomycetes; Russulales; Russulaceae
Description: sequence contains ITS2
Source: RNAcentral
AAUCCUCAAAACCCCCCUUUCUUUCAUCGGAACGGGGGAUUUUGGACUUGGAGGCUCAAUGCUUGCUUUCGCUUUCGAAAGCGAGCUCCUCUUAAAUGAAUCAGUGGGGUCCGCUUUGCCGAUCCUUGACGUGAUAAGAUGUUUCUACGUUUUGGACAUGGCACUGUUUUCUCCGCUCCUAACUGUCCCACGGACAACGAUGGUGCUCCGGUCCCCUGCCAUCUGGCGCGUGGCUGGACCCACAAAAAA